AUACGGAGGGUGCAAGCGUUACUCGGAAUCACUGGGCGUAAAGCGCGCGCAGGCGGCUAUUUAAGUUGGAUGUGGAAGCCUAUGGCUCAACCAUAGAACUGUAUCCAAAACUAUUUAGCUAGAGUGUGGGAGAGGAAGAUGGAAUUAGUUGUGUAGGGGUAAAAUCCGUAGAGAUAACUAGGAAUACCAAAAGCGAAGGCAAUCUUCUGGAACACUACUGACGCUGAGGCGCGAAAGCGUGGGGAGCAAACGGGAUUAGAAACCCUAGUAGUCC
RNAcentral lists this ribosomal RNA (274 nucleotides) under uncultured bacterium. RNAcentral describes it as "partial 16S ribosomal RNA". It matches the Rfam family "Bacterial small subunit ribosomal RNA", at positions 523 to 796 of the family's 1533-position model. The record is from RNAcentral.